GAGCGGUAGUUCAGUUGGUUAGAAUACCGGCCUGUCACGCCGGGGGUCGCGGGUUCGAGCCCCGUCCGCUCC
Molecule: transfer RNA, 72 nt
Filed under: Bordetella pertussis
Lineage: Bacteria; Pseudomonadati; Pseudomonadota; Betaproteobacteria; Burkholderiales; Alcaligenaceae
Also listed under: 13 other names
Rfam family: tRNA
About the family: Transfer RNA (tRNA) molecules are approximately 80 nucleotides in length. Their secondary structure includes four short double-helical elements and three loops (D, anti-codon, and T loops).
Source: RNAcentral